CCAGACUCCUACGGGAGGCAGCAGUAGGGAAUUUUGCGCAAUGGGGGAAACCCUGACGCAGCAACACCGCGUGAAUGUUAAGCCCUUCGGGGUGUAAAGUUCUGUCAAUAGGGACGAAUUUUGACUGUACCUAUAAAGGAAGCACCGGCUAACUCCGUGCCAGCAGCCGCGGUAAUACGGGGGGUGCAAGCGUUAUCCGGAUUUACUGGGUGUAAAGGGAGCGUAGACGGUUUUUCAAGUCUGAAGUGAAAGCCCGCGGCUCAACUGCGGAACGGCUUUGGAAACUGAGGGACUAGAGUGCUGGAGGGGCAGGCGGAAUUCCUGGUGUAGCGGUGAAAUACGUAGAUAUCAGGAGGAACACCGGUGGCGAAGGCGGCCUGCUGGACAGUAACUGACGUUGAGGCUCGAAAGCGUGGGGAGCAAACAGGAUUAGAUACCCUAGUAAUC
RNAcentral lists this ribosomal RNA (447 nucleotides) under uncultured bacterium. RNAcentral describes it as "bacterial SSU rRNA". It matches the Rfam family "Bacterial small subunit ribosomal RNA", at positions 331 to 795 of the family's 1533-position model. The record is from RNAcentral.